Manis pentadactyla (Chinese pangolin) is the source of this 4877-nucleotide long non-coding RNA. RefSeq lists it as uncharacterized. The transcript has 7 exons. Lineage: Eukaryota; Metazoa; Chordata; Mammalia; Pholidota; Manidae. The record is from RefSeq and is a predicted model, not a curated record.
UUUGUUUUACCAGAAUCAGAAUAUUGUCAGGCCAGGAACAAGAAGAAAAGAGUCACUGACAGCUUUAUUUCUUGGGAUCUUGAAGGACUGACCCAACUUAGAGAUUACACAGCUAUCCAGUAAAGACACUCAGAGCGUACCACAGGCUAAGCGCUCAGCAGACACUGAGUACGUGCUGAUGGGUGAGACGCUUUCCCAUGUUCAAAGCCGUACAGUCUCUGGGGAUACAGACAAGCCCGCCCUGGGAAGCAUCAGUCCCAUGUAACUAGAAGCCCCAUGGGGCAAAGGACCCAAAGAGAGGCCUCCUGAGUGUUAUUUCCAUUCAGCGAAAACUUCAGAGAGAAUUUAACUUACUUUUUUUUAAAAAAAGCUCUGAUCAAGACCAUCAGAGUUAGAGCCAGACAGGCUGGGUUCAAAUCCCAGUUUAGCCACUUGCUAACCGAGUGACACUGGGCAACUAACUGAACCUCUCUGUGCCUCAUUUUUCCCCUUGUAAAAACCUGCUUCCUAGGGUUGUGAAGAUUGAAGUACUUAGACCUAACAGGGGUUCUUAAUGAUCUCAGAUGCUUUAGGUUUUAAUGUCUCACCCAUUUAACGUCACCUUAACAACUUCAGUGCUCUCGCACAUGGCAGAGAAUAUGAAAGCGAACAGCAAACUCUCGGGAGAGUCAGCUUGGUUUCCUAGCCACCCAGCCCGCCCCCCUGCACGGCUCUACCUUCUGCUCUCCCCAGGGUGCUCUGUCUGCCCCUGUCCUCCUGACCACCUUCUCCCCAGGCUCCCACUCUUUCAGUGUCCUGGUCACCAUAGACUCCCCCGUGGAGACUCCUUGACCUUAGGUGGUAUUCCCUCUCUGGGGUGCUCCUGAGGACACAACUUGCGUUUGCAUACUGCUUUGUACUGCAUACUUCUUUUAAUCUCCUCGUCUUACUGGAUUGUAGAUUUCUUGAAGGCAAAGCCAUGUCUGGCUCAUUUUGAUAACACCCACAGUUCUGAGCACAGUGGCCUUCACAUGGCUGGUCCUGAAUUUGUUUCAUAAAUAAGAAUAGAAGUAAAAACACAAAACCUACAAAAACAGUGAAGUAGAGGGUGGGUGCUGGAAUCAGACAGCCUUUAAUUCUGGCUCUGUCACUAUUUGCUGUGGAAUCUUGGACAGUAAUUCUUUCUGUUCCCCCAUCUCCUCAUCAAUAAAGAGGAGAUAAUCACGGUACCUCUCUUAUAGGGCUGUUGUAGGAUUAAAUGAGAUAAUUGUAAAAGGGCCUAGAAGACAACCUGGCAUGUAGUGAGGCUCAGUAACUGUUAACCUUAGCUGUUGCUAUCACCUCAUCAGCUCCCUCAUUAUAAUUAGCGUGGGCUCUUUUGCUUAUAGGGAAACAUCUCUCCACCUACUAAUGAUCCCAAAGGAAAAAAGCGUCUUCUAAUGCAGCACAGGAACUAAGUUUGGUGUUUUAGAAACAUGUCCACUAAACAAACACUUUAAAAUGUCAGCACUUCAGAAAAGUUUGCAUCUAAGGAACCAUUCUGUUACUACAAUCUUUGGAGCACCCAUCUGAAGGUGUGGUAAGGGACAUUUGAUGGCAAGUUCUAUUUUCCCUCCAUACAGCUAGGGCAAAAAGAGGCAGAGAAACAUUUGGCUCCAAGCUAAUAGAAUCAGUGGCAUAGCUCAUCUGAAAAGUUUAUUCAUUCUCAAGCUAAUAGAAGUAGAGGCAUAGCUUAUCUCAAAAAUCUAGCCAUUCGCUAGCCCACAUCCAAACACCAACUGCAGAAGCAAAUCGCAUUUAGCUGUUUCUUUUAAGUGUUACUUUUAGUAAAAGAGUAGAUCAUGAAACUGAACCUUAAAAAAUCCAAAUCUACAGACAGUUAAGAUGAUGUGAUUCAAAUAUUCAGCAUUCUGGUGGUCUUGCUUGUUGAGAGAAGGAGCUUCAAGCAUUGUAUCAUUCAGACAUUGAUUCAGUCAGGAGACGGAAACUGCAUGAGACAUUUUCACAGAGAAAGUAUAAAAACUUGUUAGCUGGAUAUUGAAAAAGCAAAAAGGCAAAAAGAGAAGACUAUCAUAGGAGUUGCAGCAGUAGGAAGCACCUACCUCUCCCAGGCCUGGAGGAACAGAGGGAAGGUGCUGGAAUUACUACAGUUUAGAAUCAGAAGCUCAGAGGUGGAGCCCAUGGGGCCCAAAUCAGGCAUCUUAGUAGGGGCAGCUGUUUGGCUGAGGCUGGUCUCUCUGAGCCUGGAGAAGGGGCUGCCUGACCCUGGGACACAGAUCGCUGAGGAAAGGGUAUCAGCUGGCUGCUGCUGACCCCCUGCAGGGUGUGACAAGCUGACUCUGAGCCUUAGAACAGCAGCAGCCCGGCUUCAGCUGCUGCUACUGGAAUGAAAGGUGACUCUGGGAACAAGACACUUUGCAAGGCUGACCCGACAAGAGCGGGAAACAAAUGCAGAGAAGGAAGUCGCUUCUCCCUCCUCCCACCUUCUAGUCUGUGUCUAGCACAUGCAAUUAGCAGAGGAGGACCAGAAGCAGCUGGCAAAGCAACAAAGGCCUUUGAAGAGCCAAGUUUGGUUGACAUCACCAAAUAUCAGAGGAAAAGAGAAAAUGGCAGAGACAAAGACCAGAGUAAUGUUGGAAAGACACAUGUUGAGGACAAGAGAGUGACAUCAUCCUGAGUUUCUAUGUGACUGUACAGAACAAAGACAACUCUCUGCCGCCUCCCCCAGUCCCCAGCCUGGAACUUAUUCCCUGGAUGGCAGUAGGAGAAAUAAACCUUGACUACAUUUAAGCUAAAGUAUUUUGGGUCCACUUCUUAUAGGGUUUUAGCUUAAUCUAAUUAAUACAUAGUUGAAAACCAAUAUAUUGUAUAGAAGAAUUUGAAUUGUAUUAGAGUUCCUAGAUGCGAUAAAACCUAAUCUGGGUGUUAAUUAGUAACAAUUGCAAAUAAUUUAGAGAUUUAAUGUGCCAGGAACUGUGCCAAGAAACAACAUGUACUAUCUAAUUGUCACAAUAGCCCUUUACAUUAUGUGUUAUUGAAACUUAAUUUUGCCCGUGAAGUAAGUUUAGAACAGCCAUGUAUACAGCUACAAUGGAUGGUAGGCCCAUAAUCUGAACACAUCUACCUCUGUCUAUGAAGUCGGUGUAUGCUGGUGGGGGCUAGUGUAAAGGAAAGGCAUGUAGGUGUGUGUUAUGGGGCAGGUUGGGGCUGGGUGUGACAAUAGCUGUAGGACUUUUCCUUUCCAGUAAUAUUCUUAUAGAAAAAGAGUUCCCUUUGCUCUCCUGUUCUUCAAGCCAGUCUUGACUUCUGAAAUCUGAACUGCUCUUUUUUCCAUCAAUGCUAUGGCAAUGGGAGAACCCAGAAUAAAUUAUCUAGGUAUUUAGAGCUGAAAAAGGAGCCAAAAACCUAGCCCUCACCAACCAGCAUGCCCACUCCCAAACAGGAGCCCAGACAAUCUGAGGGACCACUAAAUAGAGAGCAUAGGGCAAUUAAAUGGAUGACCCUUCCUUUGGAGAAGGAACCCCAGAAGGAUCACAGGCUGAGAGGCAGGGAUUUGGGCCACAGAACAGAAGAAGAAGCCCAGUCAAAGGCAAAUAAAUAACCAUUGUUCAAGAUUACCAACUGCUAGCAUUGAUAAUCAAGAGGUAACUGUAAGUCUUCCUUUUUUUGCAUCCAGAUGGUCCAGGAGGAAUUCAAAGCAAAUAAAUGCAUAUACGCCUGGGUAUGUCUAAAUACAUUUAUUUCCAAGAACUACUAGGUGUUGAGAAACCAUGCAGAGUUUUGAAUAGAGGAGGUGGACAUCAACUGCAGAAAUGAUUUUCAUAAUUCUGAAACACGCCUUCAAUGGGAGGAGCGCCUCCAGGGUGAGGAUGUACCCUGAAACUAACACAGGCUGAUUCCAGACCGGCCACUGAAGGGCAGGCACCUGGCUCAGGGGCACCCAGGUGGCAGCUCCAGGAAUGAAGGAACAGGAGUUUUGGUCUUGGGGAAGAGUUGAAUCUGCUCUGUUGGAUGGAAGUCUGUAGACAGAGGUUGUAAGGUCCUCCUUUUCCUCUGAAACAAGAUUUUAUGGAAGUUCCUGUCCUGAACAGACGUUUGCUGGUCUCCAGUCCCCACCAGGCACUGCAGCUAAGGACACUUGGGAAGUCGUGUACAUCAGCCACACUUGUGUGGACCUCUCCUAAGCAGCCCCAUGGAGCUUUAAGCAGUGCCUGACAGGAGGAGCUUUUCAUGUGAAACACCUCUUCUCCCAGUCUUGAAGGAGUGGACCUCCCCUGGGUAGACUGUGUGUGUCUGGUGGCUUUGGCUAGCUGGAAACCAGCAGCCAAAUGACCUCAAAAUCACUAGAAAAAAUGCAAGGGGGAAGGGAUAUCCACCUGACCCAGCCCAGGCCGUGGGAGGAGAGCCAAGCAGUCGCAGUUGAGAGGAAGCUGUGGUACUUCAAAGAGGCUUCACAGAGGUGGAACCAGAGCAGCUCUGAGGAUAUUUCACUCAAAGCUGAGGGAAAGCCAGAGUUCUCAGAAUUGCCUAUAGGGCCCAACACAGCCUUCAUCUUAUCUGUACCCCAUCACCUCUUAUUCACCCUGUUCCUAACAGCCUCUUUGCUGUUCCUCAAACAUGCUGCCAUCUCAGGGCAUUUUCAUAUGUUGAUUCCCCUAGAAUGUUCUCCCAGUACUCAGACUAAUUGUUUCCAAGUCAGUUGAAGGACUUUGCUCACAUGUCAACUUAUAGGCAAGGCCAUUCCUGCCCAUUCUACUUAAGGCUGUGCCAGCCCUCCUUACCCCUCCCUAGCUUCACAUGUCUCUGGAGCAUGGAUCACUGCCUGACAAGCUAUUUUACAUACUUUUUGUUUAUUGUGUCUCUUGUCACCCUAAAGUAUGAGUCACUUAAGAGUUUGU